RNAcentral lists this ribosomal RNA (582 nucleotides) under uncultured fungus. RNAcentral describes it as "SSU rRNA". It matches the Rfam family "Eukaryotic small subunit ribosomal RNA", at positions 83 to 668 of the family's 1831-position model. Lineage: Eukaryota; Fungi. The record is from RNAcentral.
GAAACUGCGAAUGGCUCAUUAAAUCAGUUAUCGUUUAUUUGAUAGUACCUUACUACAUGGAUACCUGUGGUAAUUCUAGAGCUAAUACAUGCUGAAAACCCCGACUUCGGAAGGGGUGUAUUUAUUAGAUAAAAAACCAAUGCCCUUCGGGGCUCCUUGGUGAAUCAUAAUAACUUAACGAAUCGCAUGGCCCUGCGCCGGCGAUGGUUCAUUCAAAUUUCUGCCCUAUCAACUUUCGAUGGUAGGAUAGUGGCCUACCAUGGUGGCAACGGGUAACGGGGAAUUAGGGUUCGAUUCCGGAGAGGGAGCCUGAGAAACGGCUACCACAUCCAAGGAAGGCAGCAGGCGCGCAAAUUACCCAAUCCCGAUACGGGGAGGUAGUGACAAUAAAUACUGAUACGGGGCUCUUUUGGGUCUCGUAAUUGGAAUGAGAACAAUUUAAAUCCCUUAACGAGGAACAAUUGGAGGGCAAGUCUGGUGCCAGCAGCCGCGGUAAUUCCAGCUCCAAUAGCGUAUAUUAAAGUUGUUGCAGUUAAAAAGCUCGUAGUUGAACCUUGGGUCUGGCUGGCCGGUCCGCCUCAC